AAAUCAAGGCAAAAGUUAAAAAUUUAAAUAAAAUAGAUAUUCAAAACUCCUUCACAAAACUCUAACCCUAGAUAUAAUUUAGUUUAAUAUAUUCAUAAUUAAAAUCAAGAAUUCAAAGAAAAGAUACAAAUAAGAAGAUAAAAGUAAAGAAAACUUCUCAAUUUCCCUUGCUUCGAUCUUCUUCUUUGAUUCUUCCACGGUUCCUCCUUGAUCUCUCAAGAAAAGAAGAUGUAAUGGUUUCUAUCCUAAAAACAACCUUAAGAACUCCUAUUUAUAGUUUCUUGAAAAUAUAUCCUAAACAGGGUAGAAAUAGGCUUUAUUGGACUUGAAAAAUCACGUUUUCGCCUAUUUUUCUGAUGAUGACCGGCCCAAUGACCAGCGCCAGUCAUUGGAUCAAGUUCAAAACACAAAAGAAUCUGAAGAUGUCUGACACGAAGCUCCUUGCAAUGUCUGACGCCAGUCCUAGAUCCGUUCGUGAAUCGGUACAGAUCCGCAUGCAUAUCACUUUUGAAGCCCAAAAACAUCAUCAAAGAGGCUGAAUCAGUUCUUACUCAAAACAUGCAAGUUGUAACUCUUUGAAUAAGCUUUUCAAUGCCACAAGAAUCAAGUCAUUUGGAGUAUGUAUGGAUGCCGAGAUAUACCUAAAACACUGAUACCUGAUUACAAGAGCAUCGCAGCUCAACUAUAUUUUAGUAAUUUGGAUUUUUGACUAUGAAAACAUGAUAACCAAACAUUGAUGUCUACGUAAGAUUUGUAGAACAUUCUCUGAGGUUCAAACUAAAUCAAGAAUCAUCUAAAUUCAAUUUAUGUAGUUCAAGUUAUUGCCAAAAUACUAAAACAUGUCAAUCUUAUCAAAUCCUUUUCUCUUGACUUUUUCCUCUUCCAUUGCUACUUCAUGCCACGUUUUUAGCCCAUUUUCUCUUCAAUUAAAAUUUUCACCUAUUAAAACAAUAUAAGAACAAAAUUAAAUAAUUUCUACUCAAGAUAAAGCUCAAAUAACAUAAUUAACUUGCAACUUAAACAUAUAAAUUUACUACAUUUCAUACCCUGUCAUUGAGCUUCUGGAGGAAGUUUAUCAUUCUGUCAAAUUAAACUUGAACGGCUUGGCAAAUUGGAGGUCCCUGUGGAUGUAGGAUACAGAUAAAGAUACCAUAGCCCCCUUAUGAGUUUUGACAGGUAAUUUGAUGGUCUUGACUCUACUGGUGUGCAGCUGAUGAGACAAACUCUGUGCCACAUGUGGAUAAGGAUUCAUUGCCAGAAAAUUUAACUAUAGAAUUGUAGAUCACCGACAGACAGUUGGAUAUUAUUUGAGCCGGGAUUUGAAGAGCUUGCCUUACAGUUUGUUGACAUGUGGAGGCAUGCAUGCUCCAGGAAGAUCCUGGGUUCGGUGAGCCAUUGCUUU
RNAcentral lists this long non-coding RNA (1402 nucleotides) under Coffea arabica (coffee). RNAcentral's name for it is "long non-coding RNA (CARA_LNC006938)". The record is from RNAcentral. Lineage: Eukaryota; Viridiplantae; Streptophyta; Magnoliopsida; Gentianales; Rubiaceae.